UACGUAGGGUGCGAGCGUUAAUCGGAAUUACUGGGCGUAAAGCGUGCGCAGGCGGUUCGUCGUGUCUGAUGUGAAAGCCCCGGGCUCAACCUGGGAAUGGCAUUGGAAACUGGCGGACUAGAGUGUGGCAGAGGGGGGUGGAAUUCCAGGUGUAGCGGUGAAAUGCGUAGAUAUCUGGAGGAACACCGGUGGCGAAGGCGACAUCCUGGACCGGUAUUGACGCUGAGGCGCGAAAGCCAGGGGAGCAAACGGG
This 253-nucleotide ribosomal RNA is filed under the name uncultured bacterium. RNAcentral describes it as "partial 16S ribosomal RNA". It matches the Rfam family "Bacterial small subunit ribosomal RNA", at positions 524 to 776 of the family's 1533-position model. The record is from RNAcentral.